CGGAGUUUGAGGACCCAUGGUCUAGAUUAACUUGGUAUGUGUAAUACAUGUAAGACUGCUGUAGUGUGGUGGGUUGUGAGAUUUCCCUUGUAGAUGUACCCACUCCUGUGGAGGAAAGACAAUGAAUUUAUCCUUGAUCUUAAUCUACUUAACAUGCUGCAUUGGUUGCUGGAUUGUACUAUGAUGGCCUUCAAGAAUUGCUUGUUCAAUACUCCACACAAUAUUUCACAACUGUUUUAGUAUGCAUUGUACCGGCAAACAGCCACCAUGGCAACUCUUUUAUAUUUAUGUUUUAUAUUGUUUUUUUAUGUCUUGUUUAUUAUUCUCUGUAAUUUACUAAAUAAAGAAUAUUAGAAAAAA
Non-coding RNA from Pelobates cultripes (western spadefoot toad), 360 nucleotides. NCBI's taxonomy places the organism in Eukaryota, Metazoa, Chordata, Amphibia, Anura, Pelobatidae. The record is from the annotation of a GenBank genome assembly.